CGAAUGCUGACAUAAGUAACGAUAAAGCGGGUGAAAAGCCCGCUCGCCGGAAGACCAAGGGUUCCUGUCCAACGUUAAUCGGGGCAGGGUGAGUCGACCCCUAAGGCGAGGCCGAAAGGCGUAGUCGAUGGGAAACAGGUUAAUAUUCCUGUACUUGGUGUUACUGCGAAGGGGGGACGGAGAAGGCUAUGUUGGCCGGGCGACGGUUGUCCCGGUUUAAGCGUGUAGGCUGGUUUUCCAGGCAAAUCCGGAAAAUCAAGGCUGAGGCGUGAUGACGAGGCACUACGGUGCUGAAGCAACAAAUGCCCUGCUUCCAGGAAAAGCCUCUAAGCAUCAGGUAACAUCAAAUCGUACCCCAAACCGACACAGGUGGUCAGGUAGAGAAUACCAAGGCGCUUGAGAGAACUCGGGUGAAGGAACUAGGCAAAAUGGUGCCGUAACUUCGGGAGAAGGCACGCUGAUAUGUAGGUGAAGCGACUUGCUCGUGGAGCUGAAAUCAGUCGAAGAUACCAGCUGGCUGCAACUGUUUAUUAAAAACACAGCACUGUGCAAACACGAAAGUGGACGUAUACGGUGUGACGCCUGCCCGGUGCCGGAAGGUUAAUUGAUGGGGUUAGCGGUAACGCGAAGCUCUUGAUCGAAGCCCCGGUAAACGGCGGCCGUAACUAUAACGGUCCUAAGGUAGCGAAAUUCCUUGUCGGGUAAGUUCCGACCUGCACGAAUGGCGUAAUGAUGGCCAGGCUGUCUCCACCCGAGACUCAGUGAAAUUGAACUCGCUGUGAAGAUGCAGUGUACCCGCGGCAAGACGGAAAGACCCCGUGAACCUUUACUAUAGCUUGACACUGAACAUUGAGCCUUGAUGUGUAGGAUAGGUGGGAGGCUUUGAAGUGUGGACGCCAGUCUGCAUGGAGCCGACCUUGAAAUACCACCCUUUAAUGUUUGAUGUUCUAACGUUGGCCCCUGAUCGGGGUUGCGGACAGUGUCUGGUGGGUAGUUUGACUGGGGCGGUCUCCUCCUAAAGAGUAACGGAGGAGCACGAAGGUUGGCUAAUCCUGGUCGGACAUCAGGAGGUUAGUGCAAUGGCAUAAGCCAGCUUGACUGCGAGCGUGACGGCGCGAGCAGGUGCGAAAGCAGGUCAUAGUGAUCCGGUGGUUCUGAAUGGAAGGGCCAUCGCUCAACGGAUAAAAGGUACUCCGGGGAUAACAGGCUGAUACCGCCCAAGAGUUCAUAUCGACGGCGGUGUUUGGCACCUCGAUGUCGGCUCAUCACAUCCUGGGGCUGAAGUAGGUCCCAAGGGUAUGGCUGUUCGCCAUUUAAAGUGGUACGCGAGCUGGGUUUAGAACGUCGUGAGACAGUUCGGUCCCUAUCUGCCGUGGGCGCUGGAGAACUGAGGGGGGCUGCUCCUAGUACGAGAGGACCGGAGUGGACGCAUCACUGGUGUUCGGGUUGUCAUGCCAAUGGCACUGCCCGGUAGCUAAAUGCGGAAGAGAUAAGUGCUGAAAGCAUCUAAGCACGAAACUUGCCCCGAGAUGAGUUCUCCCUGAGACUUUAAGUCUCCUGAAGGAACGUUGAAGACGACGACGUUGAUAGGCCGGGUGUGUAAGCGCAGCGAUGCGUUGAGCUAACCGGUACUAAUGAACCGUGAGGCUUAACCUUACAAC
This 1661-nucleotide ribosomal RNA is filed under the name Escherichia coli. RNAcentral describes it as "partial 23S ribosomal RNA". It matches the Rfam family "Bacterial large subunit ribosomal RNA", at positions 1291 to 2925 of the family's 2925-position model. Lineage: Bacteria; Pseudomonadati; Pseudomonadota; Gammaproteobacteria; Enterobacterales; Enterobacteriaceae. The record is from RNAcentral.